This 433-nucleotide ribosomal RNA is filed under the name uncultured bacterium. Its description in RNAcentral is "partial 16S ribosomal RNA". It matches the Rfam family "Bacterial small subunit ribosomal RNA", at positions 29 to 507 of the family's 1533-position model. The record is from RNAcentral.
AACGAACGCUGGCGGCAUGCCUAACACAUGCAAGUCGAACGAGACCUUCGGGUCCAGUGGCGCACGGGUGCGUAACGCGUGGGAACCUGCCCUUAGGUUCGGAAUAACUCCCCGAAAGGGGUGCUAAUACCGGAUAAUGUCUUCGGACCAAAGAUUUAUCGCCUUUGGAUGGGCCCGCGUUGGAUUAGCUAGUUGGUAGGGUAAAAGCCUACCAAGGCGACGAUCCAUAGCUGGUCUGAGAGGAUGGUCAGCCACACUGGGACUGAGACACGGCCCAGACUCCUACGGGAGGCAGCAGUGGGGAAUAUUGGACAAUGGGCGAAAGCCUGAUCCAGCAAUGCCGCGUGAGUGAUGAAGGCCUUAGGGUUGUAAAGCUCUUUUACCCGGGAUGAUAAUGACAGUACCGGGAGAAUAAGCUCCGGCUAACUCCGUG